Lycium barbarum (goji berry) is the source of this 1069-nucleotide RNA transcript. It is a transcript of the gene named histone H1-like, with no coding region annotated. The transcript has 3 exons. Lineage: Eukaryota; Viridiplantae; Streptophyta; Magnoliopsida; Solanales; Solanaceae. The record is from RefSeq and is a predicted model, not a curated record.
AUGACAUGCUCUAUUUGCAAGUCCAGUUCACAUAACAGAAGAGGAUGCCCUUUAAGACCACCAACAUCAGCAACUGCACCAGCAUCAACAUCAGCCCCUUCCAGAAGAAGAUACUCAAUGCCACCAGCAGAAGCAAGAAGAAGGCCAAGAGGAAAAGCACCAGCAGCACCAGCAAAGCCAAGAGGAAAAGCACCACCAGCAGCAGCAGCAAAGCCAAGAAGAAAAGCACCGACGGCAGUAGCUGCACCAAAGCCAAGAGGAAAAGCAGCAGCAAAGGCAACAGCAAAUAAAGCAUCAACUAGAGCACCAGAUGCAGCAACUGCACCAGCAGCAGCAGCAAAGGCAAGAGGAAAAACAGCAGUAGUACCAACAAAAACUGCACCAACUGCAAUCCCUUCCAAGAGGAAAUGCGCAAAACCACCUGUCCCUCUAAGGCCUAAAGCAACUACAAAGGUUAAUUCUUCCCAGCAAUCAUCAACUGGAAGUACAAGAAAGAGUGGUGUUCUUGACAAUCAAGAAGCAUGUACAAGCAUGGAAGGGAGCAGGAGUAAGUAAAGAGGCCAAGAGUUGUUGGACAAGGUAUUUUUGUGUCUGAGUCUGGAUAUAGUUGUGUUAAUCAAGGGAUGCCUAGCAGCAGGUUGAUAUCCACACCUAGGAUGAUGAAUUCAGCCAUUGUCACAGGUGAAAUUGGAUACAAACCCAGCAAGGGCUUGAAGUGGAGAGGAAAUGUAGCAGUUACACAAAGACAACUCCAAGAGAAAAGUGCUAUGCAUAGAGUCCAAAUAAGAUCAAAGGCUCUUGGAGUUCAAACAAGGUCAAAAGAUGGAAAAUCCAAUGAAGAAGAAGUCUUAGAUUUCUAUGUUUAAGGGUAUUUAUUUUUGGUGAAACUUGGGUAUGUAAGCAAACAAUGUAGCUUGGUAGUUUUGGUCGACAAUUGGAAACAAUGUUCAAUUAUUUUGCAUAUGACAAUGAUGACUGAUGUCCCUUAAUUUACAUAUGACAAUGUCCAGAUUUGCUUAAUGGUACUUGGUGUGUUUUUAACAUAUUUUGCAUUGAAUGGUAUUUUGGA